RNAcentral lists this long non-coding RNA (842 nucleotides) under Anser brachyrhynchus (Pink-footed goose). Its description in RNAcentral is "lncRNA (ENSABRG00000002857.1)". The record is from RNAcentral. Lineage: Eukaryota; Metazoa; Chordata; Aves; Anseriformes; Anatidae.
AGCUUUCCUCUAUCAGCACCAUCUCAUCUAUGUUGUAUGUGAAUCAGCAGCACCUAAAAGACAAGAAGCAGUGUGCUUUGGAAUACACUUUCAGGCUUUAUAUCUUUUCACACCAGUGGACAGUCCAACAUGCCUUAAGUGAUUGUUCAGAACACUUUAUAAAAAGAAAAAUAAAUCAGCUGACUGAAAUUUUACUGAGAGGCAUAGAGAGAAGAAAACCAAACAAAGUUAGCCGUAUCAGAGGGAAGCAAGUUCAUUUUUCCCCACUAAAGAACUAUCUCCCAGCUCACACCUGGUGGAAAGAUUGUGAGUUUCAGCGCUGCAGAUGAAUGUUUCUGGCCCGGAAUGAUUUCACCUAUCUGAAAAGGGAGUUAAGUGUUUGUCAAUUUUGUCUAAACUGCCAGGUUUUCCUAGAAAUAGUGUUCCAGGUUUUCAUAAGCCUGGAGACAUUUUUGUCAUUUCAACCUCGUUUAGUUUAUUAUAUCCUGCCAGCCAUGUCUAGAUAAACUGUAAUGAAGGCUGCUGCCUCCAUUAUAAACCCACAUCUACUCUAUCAACAAGCUUUCAGUACCAUGACCAUUAUAAAAACUCUAAAAUUUGAUCUGCCAUUGAUGAUAGGCAAGUUUCAAUUUGUGGCUACUAGCCUGCACAAAAUGAUCUACAAAUGGCACGUUGCAGGCUGUUAUUUUGUAUCCUGCAGGAUGGUGUGAAAGUCCUCUCCCUUCCCUUCAAGGUGAAGGUCAUUUCACCAGAUCAGAAAUUGUUAUUGCUGUAACUGACAUGGGGAACUAUACCAGAAGCUUAAUUUAAAAUAAAAAUAGAGGCAGUAGAAUAAUGCUGCA